AUGUGGGUUGUUGGAGGUUUGAGGGGCGGUGGAGGGGGGUAUCACGAGUGAAUUGGUCAGCCUGUUUGUCAGGAGAUGUCGUUAACGAGAAAAGUGAAGAUGGAAAGUCGAUAAGGAUGCUUCACUUAUCAGGUCGAUAAGGAUGAUUCAGGUAUGUUUGUUUGCAUGGUCGAUAACGAUGAUUCAGCAUACAACGUGGCGAAUAAUUGUAAAAGACUAUGUUUUUUGUUUUUCCGCUUAUGUU
RNAcentral lists this long non-coding RNA (244 nucleotides) under Helianthus annuus (common sunflower). Its description in RNAcentral is "sRNA HanXRQr2_Chr17g0807531". Lineage: Eukaryota; Viridiplantae; Streptophyta; Magnoliopsida; Asterales; Asteraceae. The record is from RNAcentral.